This 253-nucleotide unclassified non-coding RNA is filed under the name uncultured Alphaproteobacteria bacterium. Its description in RNAcentral is "contains 16S-23S intergenic spacer region". It matches the Rfam family "Bacterial small subunit ribosomal RNA", at positions 524 to 776 of the family's 1533-position model. Lineage: Bacteria; Pseudomonadati; Pseudomonadota; Alphaproteobacteria. The record is from RNAcentral.
UACGAAGGGGGCUAGCGUUGUUCGGAAUUACUGGGCGUAAAGCGCACGCAGGCGGAUUGAUUAGUCAGAGGUGAAAUCCCAGGGCUUAACCUUGGAAUUGCCUUUGAUACUGUCAGUCUUGAGUCCGGGAGAGGUGAGUGGAAUUCCUAGUGUAGAGGUGAAAUUCGUAGAUAUUAGGAAGAACACCAGUGGCGAAGGCGGCUCACUGGCCCGGUACUGACGCUCAGGUGCGAAAGCGUGGGGAGCAAACAGG